Molecule: ribosomal RNA, 449 nt
Filed under: uncultured bacterium
Lineage: Bacteria
Description: bacterial SSU rRNA
Rfam family: Bacterial small subunit ribosomal RNA
Source: RNAcentral
UCCUACGGGAGGCAGCAGCAAGGAAUAUUGUGCAAUGGGCGAAAGCCUGACACAGUGACGCUGCGUGGGGGAUGAAGGCUUUCGGGUUGUAAACCCCUUUUCUCAGGGAAGAAUAAUGACGGUACCUGAGGAAUAAGUCACGGCUAACUACGUGCCAGCAGCCGCGGUAAUACGUAGGUGGCAAGCGUUAUCCGGAUUUAUUGGGCGUAAAGAGGGUGCAGGCUGCCUUUCAAGUCGGAUGUGAAAUCUCCCGGCUUAACUGGGAGGGGAUAUUCGAUACUGUUAGGCUAGAGGGCAGCAGAGGGAGGUGGAAUUCCCGGUGGAGUGGUGAAAUGCGUAGAUAUCGGGAGGAACACCAGAGGCGUAGGCGACCUCCUAGGCUGUUACUGACGCUGAGGCCCGAAAGCGUGGGGAGCGAACAGGAUUAGAUACCCUGGUAGUCCAAGCCG